This 160-nucleotide unclassified non-coding RNA is filed under the name soil metagenome. RNAcentral's name for it is "partial internal transcribed spacer 1". The record is from RNAcentral.
AAGAGACGUUGCCCUUCGGGGUAUACCUCCCACCCUUGUUUAUUAUACCUUUGUUGCUUUGGCGGGCCCGUCCUCGGACCACCGGCUUCUGCUGGUCAGUGCCCGCCAGAGGACCUAAAACUCUGUUUGUUAAUAUUGUCUGAGUACUAUAUAAUAGUUA